UGCACGACUCUCGGCAAAGGAUAUCUCGGCCCUCGCCACGAUGAAGAACGUAGCGAAAUGCGAUACUUAGUGUGAAUUGCAGAAUCUCGUGAGUCAUCCAGUCUUUGAAUGCAAGUUGUGCUCGAGGCUUCGAAUGAGGGCAUGUUUGCCUGGGUGUCGCACA
This 163-nucleotide ribosomal RNA is filed under the name Cycas revoluta. Its description in RNAcentral is "5.8S ribosomal RNA". It matches the Rfam family "5.8S ribosomal RNA". Rfam says of the family: 5.8S ribosomal RNA (5.8S rRNA) is a component of the large subunit of the eukaryotic ribosome. It is transcribed by RNA polymerase I as part of the 45S precursor that also contains 18S and 28S rRNA. Lineage: Eukaryota; Viridiplantae; Streptophyta; Cycadopsida; Cycadales; Cycadaceae. The record is from RNAcentral.